UUACCUGGAAAAUGGAAAACUCUCACUGUCGGCGUCGCAACCUCGAAUCCCUCCGUGUAACAACCGCGCGCUGCUACUCGUAGUCGAUUAGUUUUUCCGUGUGUUGAUCGAGAUGAAAAUGAAGCUCCGCGCCCGUGCGUUGCUGAUUGUGAUGAAGAACGAAGAUAUGUGUUCAUGUGCGUUGCAUCGAAGGAUGAAGGAUGAGGAUUCGUGAUGAAGAUCGAGGUGUCGCGUUCGUGUCGCUGAUGGUGAAUCUUGAUGAAGGUUCAAGAAUUAUUGUGUGCGACGUCGAUGAAAAGUCGAUCGUUGACGAUCCGUCGCGAGGUUGUCACGAUUCGUUUGCAUAUUACUGCUGCGUGUUGAGGAUCAUUACGGUUGUUCUGAUAUAAAGAGUGAUGCCGAUCGCGAAACUGCUUCCUCCGGCGAAAAAGCGGACAUGUGAGUUUUCUUACCUUAUUGAUAUCCUUCAGCUAUGAGUUCUUCUUCUUCUUCUUCUUCUGCUUUUGAGUUUUCUUUUUCUGUGGUGUUGCUGUUGUCUUAUGGGGUUUGUUUCGGCGAAUGUUGGGAUGAUAGGUCGAAGGAAUCUUGCCGGUAGGGUUGUUAGCAGGGUGAGGAGAAGCUAUGGAGGCUGGGGUUGUUGGUUAUGAUGGAGGACUCAGUUAGGUGUGAUGGUGGAGACGAAUGGUGAGGAAGAUGGCUCAUGGUUGAGAAAGUGAGAGAGGUUGAAGAAUUUGUGAAUUCUUGAAUUAUGGGAAAGAUGAUGGAGCUUGAAUUGAAGAUGGAAGAUGGUUCUUAUAGGAGAGUAAGGUUAGAGAGAUGGUUGGAAGGAGUUCGUUCUAUAGAAGGAUGAAGGUGGAAGAUGGUUUGAGGGGAUAAGGAUGGAGGGUUUUUUGUGUGAGAAGAAAUGUGAUGAAAGGUGGUAUGAAAAUUGAACCCCCCUAUGAGAGAGUGAAGGUAAGCUUUUAUAGAUUUCUGAAUUUCUUUCUCUUCUCAUUCUGUUGUGGACUUUCGGUUAAAAGUCGUUAAGAAUUGGUUAGGGAUGGUUAUGAAUCGGUUAGGCUUAAUGUGGAUUUCUGUUAGAAGUUUUGUUAGAGGGUUGUUGACAGUUGGGGGUUGGUUAGAAAUCCUGUUAGAGUUCAAAAGCAGUUAGAAAAAUUGGUUACCGUUUGGAGUUAGUUGGUUAGGGGUUGUAGUUGGUUAAUAAGCGGUUAGAAGGUUAUCACUAAUGGUUGAAGAGUGGAGAGGGAGAAGAAGAGGGUGAUGGAGUUGUUCGUAGUCCCUUGGAUAUCGGUUGAAGCCCCUCUUAUAUCCAUUGGAGAUUGAACUUGUUAUUCUGUUUUGCAGGUUGAGGAAAACAAAUCAGAAGAGGGUGGUUCAGUUUGGUUCCUGUUGGAGCAGUUCUCGUUAUGGCGGUUGGCCGUUAUGAGCGUUUUUUAUGCAGGUUUUGUAUUGGAGAGGUUCUUAUGAAGUUGAAGGUUUGUUAGCAAAAUUCAGUUGGGAAUUUUGGAAGGUUAUUUUCAGGUUUUGUUCGUAAUAUUCCCAUUUUCUUUGGAGUUCUGUUACUCUUUUCCUUUCCCACUUCCAUGGUCUGUUUUCUCCUAUCAUAAUCUCCCUUUUUUUAUUUCCUGCAGAGUUUCCCUCAGUUUUGAUUGUUGUUGCUACGGUUUGAUGGUUGCAUUGUUCCGAAAUGAACCGUGACAAGAGUUCAUUUGCCUGAAGCAUAUCAUAUGUCCGCAGGUAGGUGGGGAACGUUUCACACCGGUCAUGCAUAACACCUUUUCUCCUUCACCAGUGCGACAUUCAGACCCCCCGUGAUUAGAUCACAUGUCCGUAACAUUCCGAAUUUGUUCCGUAUUGCAAUCUAGUAUGUGCUAGAUGUCCCACUUAUACAUGAUGCAGGCGGCUUACG
RNAcentral lists this long non-coding RNA (1909 nucleotides) under Lathyrus oleraceus (garden pea). Its description in RNAcentral is "Pisum sativum (pea) long non-coding RNA (PSAT_LNC011262)". Lineage: Eukaryota; Viridiplantae; Streptophyta; Magnoliopsida; Fabales; Fabaceae. The record is from RNAcentral.